GACGAACGCUGGCGGCGUGCCUAAUACAUGCAAGUAGAACGCUGAAGAGAGGAGCUUGCUCUUCUUGGAUGAGUUGCGAACGGGUGAGUAACGCGUAGGUAACCUGCCUGGUAGCGGGGGAUAACUAUUGGAAACGAUAGCUAAUACCGCAUAAAAUUGAUUAUUGCAUGAUAAUUAAUUGAAAGAUGCAACUGCAUCACUACCAGAUGGACCUGCGUUGUAUUAGCUAGUUGGUGAGGUAACGGCUCACCAAGGCGACGAUACAUAGCCGACCUGAGAGGGUGAUCGGCCACACUGGGACUGAGACACGGCCCAGACUCCUACGGGAGGCAGCAGUAGGGAAUCUUCGGCAAUGGACGGAAGUCUGACCGAGCAACGCCGCGUGAGUGAAGAAGGUUUUCGGAUCGUAAAGCUAUGUUGUAAGAGAAGAACGAGUGUGAGAGUGGAAAGUUCACACUGUGACGGUAUCUUACCAGAAAGGGACGGCUAACUACGUGC
RNAcentral lists this ribosomal RNA (498 nucleotides) under uncultured Streptococcus sp. RNAcentral describes it as "bacterial SSU rRNA". It matches the Rfam family "Bacterial small subunit ribosomal RNA", at positions 28 to 508 of the family's 1533-position model. Lineage: Bacteria; Bacillati; Bacillota; Bacilli; Lactobacillales; Streptococcaceae. The record is from RNAcentral.